RNAcentral lists this ribosomal RNA (326 nucleotides) under uncultured Gammaproteobacteria bacterium. Its description in RNAcentral is "bacterial SSU rRNA". It matches the Rfam family "Bacterial small subunit ribosomal RNA", at positions 100 to 435 of the family's 1533-position model. Lineage: Bacteria; Pseudomonadati; Pseudomonadota; Gammaproteobacteria. The record is from RNAcentral.
GGACGGGUGAGUAAUACAUAGGAAUCUACCCAAUGGUGGGGGAUAGCUCGGGGAAACUCGAAUUAAUACCGCAUAAUCUCUACGGAGUAAAGGGGGCUUCGGCUCUCGCCAUCGGAUGAGCCUAUGCAGGAUUAGCUUGUUGGUGAGGUAAUGGCUUACCAAGGCAACGAUCCUUAGCUGGUUUGAGAGGAUGACCAGCCACAUCGGGACUGAGACACGGCCCGGACUUCUACGGAAGGCAGCAGUAGGGAAUAUUGGACAAUGAGCGAAAGCUUGAUCCAGCCAUGCCGCGUGUGUGAUGACGGCCUUCGGGUUGUAAAGCACUU